This 72-nucleotide transfer RNA is filed under the name Elusimicrobiota bacterium. RNAcentral's name for it is "Elusimicrobia bacterium (anaerobic digester metagenome) tRNA-Arg". It matches the Rfam family "tRNA". From Rfam's summary of the family: Transfer RNA (tRNA) molecules are approximately 80 nucleotides in length. Their secondary structure includes four short double-helical elements and three loops (D, anti-codon, and T loops). Lineage: Bacteria; Pseudomonadati; Elusimicrobiota. The record is from RNAcentral.
GCGCCCAUAGCUCAAUGGAUAGAGUGCCAGCCUGCGGAGCUGGAGAUCCAAGUUCGAUUCUUGGUGGGCGCG